This 253-nucleotide ribosomal RNA is filed under the name uncultured bacterium. RNAcentral describes it as "partial 16S ribosomal RNA". It matches the Rfam family "Bacterial small subunit ribosomal RNA", at positions 524 to 776 of the family's 1533-position model. The record is from RNAcentral.
UACGUAGGCAGCAAACGUUGUUCGGAAUUACUGGGCGUAAAGAGUGUGUAGGCGGUUCUGUAAGAUUGGUGUGAAAUCUCCCGGCUUAACUGGGAGGGUGCGCCGAUAACUGCAGGGCUUGAGUAUUGGAGAGGAGAGCGGAAUUCCUGGUGUAGCAGUGAAAUGCGUAGAUAUCAGGAGGAACACCGAUGGCGAAAGCAGCUCUCUGGGACGGUACUGACGCUGAGGCGCGAAAGCGUGGGGAGCGAACAGG